UUGGAGCGUCAUAUUGAAUAAAAGCCGCUUCCAGAUUUAGAGGAGUACUGAUCAUUAAGUGAAGUGAGACAAAACCGACACAUGCUGUUUAAGAUUUAAGUUUCUUUCUUAAAGAGUUCUUCCAAGCUACAGGAGAUAUUUACAAGUUGCAUGAGUCAAAGAGGAUCAGAGACGAUCUGGAAUGAUUGAUCUACAUCAGCCUUCAUUUGGGGGCUCAGUUCUAUUCAUUACUUCAGCUUAAUAGACAGGAGAGGCCCCUAAUUACAAGGAAGACUGCAAAGGAAAACUGAACACUUGCCAAGACGUCGUGGCCAUCGAUUGCCUUUGGAUUCUAGUCCCGGGCUGCUGAAGGGAAAAUGCGGAUUCUUGGCUCCAGAUAUAUUCCUCAGCUCUGUGGCACUCUCUCUUUUGUAUAGAUGUUUUUGCAGCAGUUCCACUCAGAAAACAGCCCAGCAGUAAAAGAAGGGAUAACAAAGCAAGCCGAUGCUGCCGAAUAACUGAAAACAAGAUGGAUUUCUUCGAAAACUCUCAUGUCCUAGUUAGGUUUUCUGUACGCUCAACAUUAUUGUCAAACAAUGGGUAUUUGGGAUGGGAUAGUGGGAUGCAAUGGAAUGAUGCCACGAAUGAGCUCAGUGCUUUUGCUGACACAUCCAAUCACACCCACACACCACCCCACAGUCGCAAAGAAUGCAAUUCGCAGCUUCAGGGUCGCGCUGUGCAAACCAAACGCAACUGAGGUUGAGGGGACAUAUGUAGUGCCCCACUCAGAGCAGUUCUGGGCUGCAUCCAAUACUGUUGACAGUUCUUGAGCCUCCACCUAUAUGUAGCACAGCCAUACCAUUCCAGCAGCUUCAAGGGCCACUUCACACAUGACAUUUUUAGGAGUACCCUAAGCUAAAACCAUCUCAAAACAGGUACACUCAAAACAGGUACACUCAUCAGGAGGCUGAUGCUUGGCUGCUGUUGGAUUCAGAGGCCAGCUCAAAUUUACUUCUGCAUUUGUGUGAAAUGUGGUAGACAGAGGGAGUCCAUGAGUCUAAGGGAGAAAAACAAGCCUUUUCUCAUGAUCCAGUGAGAGGGCUUGAAGGUGGGCAGCGAGGAAGGCAGCAAAAGCUCACCUUGCCGCAGAUGAUCCUCAGGGAGUUGCUGGGCACACUAAUCAUACACCUAGAUGGUCUGGGGCUGCCACAGGCAGCGUGGAGGUGCAGGGAUCAGGACGCGCAGUAGGAAAUCCUCCUGCAAGUGUGCAGUGCAUUGUGGGAAUCCCCCCUCCCCCGGCAAUGGCCAGGAGCCCACUCCUGUGAGCAGCCAGUGCUGACACACGAGCAGUUAGCUGGGGUAAGGGCCUAGUCAGGCCCUUAACCUCAGCUAACUGGUGGGCUCCCUAGGUCCGGGGUGCAGGAUGCUUCAUCCCAGCCCCUGGAAAUCCCACAAUGCACUGUGCAAGUGCAUUGUGGGUAUAUUGUGGGGAUCCCUAACUGGUGAUGGCCGGGAGCCCGCUCCUGUGCCAGCACUGGCUGAUAGCAGCCGGUGC
Long non-coding RNA from Hemicordylus capensis (graceful crag lizard), 1534 nucleotides. RefSeq lists it as uncharacterized. The transcript is spliced from 3 exons. The record is from RefSeq and is a predicted model, not a curated record. Lineage: Eukaryota; Metazoa; Chordata; Lepidosauria; Squamata; Cordylidae.